RNAcentral lists this ribosomal RNA (202 nucleotides) under uncultured bacterium. RNAcentral describes it as "partial 16S ribosomal RNA". It matches the Rfam family "Bacterial small subunit ribosomal RNA", at positions 32 to 214 of the family's 1533-position model. The record is from RNAcentral.
AAUCAACGCUGGCGGCGUGCCUCAGACAUGCAAGUCGAACGCGAAAGUUUCCUUCGGGAAGCAAGUAGAGUGGCGUCCGGGUGAGUAACACGUAGGUAAUCUACCUUUGGGUGGGGAAUAACAACCGGAAACGGUUGCUAAUACCGCAUAAUGCAGCGGCAUCACAUGAUGACAGUUGUUAACGCGGGGGAGUCGCAAGACC